GAAUCCGCUAAGGAGUGUGUAACAACUCACCUGCCGAAUGAAUUAGCCCUGAAAAUGGAUGGCGCUUAAGCGGGUAGCCGACACCACGCCGUUGGAACAAAUUUGGCCAUUAUCCAAUGAGUAGGAGGGCGUGGCGGUUGCAGCGAAGCGUACGGGCAACUGUGCGUUGAGCGGCCGCUAGUGCAGAUCUUGGUGGUAGUAGCAAAUAUUCAAGUUCAAUCCUUGAAGGACGAAGCGGGGAAGGGUUCCAGGCGAACAUUGAUUGAGCCUGGGUGAGUCGUCCCUAAGUCGCGUGCUAACUAGUCACUAGUAUGUCGGCGAAAGGGAAACGGGUUGACAUUCCCGUACACGGAUGUGGUGGCGGUGACGCACGUCUGGGGCGAAUACGCUGGUGGUAGCGCUGGGCAGAGUUGUCUUUUCUGUUUAACCUUUGUGCGCCGUACUCUGUGGAAUCCGCUUGUCGGGAGAAACAGGUGCGGCCGGGAAUAGCACCGUGUUUUUAUCGGUGUCCAGCUAGCUACUGUCAGACCUUGAAAAUUCGUCUGCUGGGCAAAGUAUAUUGGGGAGGGCUCCUUUCGGGGGGUUUUCCGUCUCACAACUUUGUUGGAAAAAGCCACGCCGUAACGUACCCAUAACCGCAUCAGGUCCCCAAGGUGAACAGCCUCUGUCCGAUAUAGUAAUGCAGGUAAGGGAAGUCGGCA
Molecule: ribosomal RNA, 701 nt
Filed under: Crouania sp. ARS-2011
Lineage: Eukaryota; Rhodophyta; Florideophyceae; Ceramiales; Callithamniaceae
Description: eukaryotic LSU rRNA
Rfam family: Eukaryotic large subunit ribosomal RNA
Source: RNAcentral